AGAGUUUGAUCCUGGCUCAGGACGAACGCUGGCGGCGUGCUUAACACAUGCAAGUCGAACGAUGAAGCCUUAGCUUGCUUUGGUGGAUUAGUGGCGAACGGGUGAGUAACACGUGAGCAACGUGCCCAGGACUCUGGAAUAACCGCGGGAAACCGUGGCUAAUACCGGAUAGGUGCCGAGGCCGCAUGGUCUUCGGUUGGAAAGUUUUUGCGGUUCUGGAUCGGCUCACGGCCUAUCAGCUUGUUGGUGGGGUAAUGGCCUACCAAGGCGACGACGGGUAGCCGGCCUGAGAGGGUGACCGGCCACACUGGGACUGAGACACGGCCCAGACUCCUACGGGAGGCAGCAGUGGGGAAUAUUGCACAAUGGGCGCAAGCCUGAUGCAGCAACGCCGCGUGGGGGAUGACGGCCUUCGGGUUGUAAACCUCUUUUAGUAGGGAAGAAGCGCAAGUGACGGUACCUGCAGAAAAAGCACCGGCUAACUACGUG
Molecule: ribosomal RNA, 489 nt
Filed under: uncultured Microbacteriaceae bacterium
Lineage: Bacteria; Bacillati; Actinomycetota; Actinomycetes; Micrococcales; Microbacteriaceae
Description: bacterial SSU rRNA
Rfam family: Bacterial small subunit ribosomal RNA
Source: RNAcentral